AAAAUUUUAAGUUAAAUAAACUAAUAGCCUUCAAAGCUUUAAUUAUAAAUAAAUUUAUAAAUUUUA
Molecule: transfer RNA, 66 nt
Filed under: Diptera sp. 69 LC-2017
Lineage: Eukaryota; Metazoa; Arthropoda; Insecta; Diptera
Description: tRNA-Trp
Source: RNAcentral